Molecule: ribosomal RNA, 253 nt
Filed under: uncultured bacterium
Lineage: Bacteria
Description: partial 16S ribosomal RNA
Rfam family: Bacterial small subunit ribosomal RNA
Source: RNAcentral
UACGUAGGGGGCAAGCGUUGUCCGGAUUUAUUGGGCGUAAAGAGCGUGUAGGCGGCUAUACAGGUCCGCUGUGAAAACUCGAGGCUCAACCUCGAGACGUCGGUGGAAACCGUAUGGCUAGAGUCCGGAAGAGGAGAGUGGAAUUCCUGGUGUAGCGGUGAAAUGCGCAGAUAUCAGGAGGAACACCGAUGGCGAAGGCAGGUCUCUGGGCCACUACUGACGCUGAGAAGCGAAAGCGUGGGGAGCGAACAGG